UUUGGCAGCACAAAUACUUAAAAAAAAAUAGAAUGACGCAGAGAAGAUUAGCAUGGCCUCUGCACAAGGAUGUGAUGUGGUUUGGCUGCAUCCCCAAUCAAAUCU
This is a small nuclear RNA of Pongo abelii (Sumatran orangutan), 105 nucleotides long. NCBI's taxonomy places the organism in Eukaryota, Metazoa, Chordata, Mammalia, Primates, Hominidae. The record is from Ensembl.